This 73-nucleotide transfer RNA is filed under the name Camelus bactrianus (Bactrian camel). It matches the Rfam family "tRNA". Rfam says of the family: Transfer RNA (tRNA) molecules are approximately 80 nucleotides in length. RNAcentral also lists the same sequence under 3 other names. Lineage: Eukaryota; Metazoa; Chordata; Mammalia; Artiodactyla; Camelidae. The record is from Rfam by way of RNAcentral.
GAGAGUAUAGCUCAAGUGGUAGAGCACAUGCCUAGCAUGCAUGAGGUCCUGGGUUCAAUCCCCAGUACCUCCU